Molecule: ribosomal RNA, 379 nt
Filed under: uncultured bacterium
Lineage: Bacteria
Description: bacterial SSU rRNA
Rfam family: Bacterial small subunit ribosomal RNA
Source: RNAcentral
UAAUACGAGUGGUGCAAGCGUUAUUCGGAAUCAUUGGGCGUAAAGGGUGUGUAGACGGCAUAUCAAGUCAACUGUUUAAUUCUCCGGCCUAACCGGAGGCCAGCGGUAGAAACUAAUAUGCUCGAGGUUGGAAGAGAGAAGUGGAAUUCUCGGAGUAGCGGUAAAAUGCGUAGAUCUCGAGAGGAACACCAAUGGCGAAGGCAGCUUCUUGGUCCAUACCUGACGUUGAAACACGAAAGCGUGGGGAGCAAACAGGAUUAGAUACCCUGGUAGUCCACGCUGUAAACGAUGAUCACUAGACGUUAGUUUCGUUUUUACGGAAUUAGUGUCGUAGCUAACGCGUUAAGUGAUCCGCCUGGGGACUACGGUCGCAAGAUUA